Molecule: ribosomal RNA, 580 nt
Filed under: uncultured rumen bacterium
Lineage: Bacteria
Description: bacterial SSU rRNA
Rfam family: Bacterial small subunit ribosomal RNA
Source: RNAcentral
GUUCUUCAUUAAAAAUUCCGGUGGUCACGGAUUGGCUCGCGUCCCAUUAGCUAGUCGGCGGGGUAACGGCCCACCGAGGCGACGAUGGGUAGGGGUUCUGAGAGGAAGGUCCCCCACAAUGGAACUGAGACACGGUCCAUACUCCUACGGGAGGCAGCAGUGAGGAAUAUUGGUCAAUGGGCGGAAGCCUGAACCAGCCAUGCCGCGUGCAGGAAGACGGCCCUAUGGGUUGUAAACUGCUUUUGAGCGGGAGCAAUAAGGGUGUCGAGGACAUCCGAUGAGAGUACCGUUCGAAUAAGCAUCGGCUAACUCCGUGCCAGCAGCCGCGGUAAUACGGAGGAUGCGAGCGUUAUCCGGAUUUAUUGGGUUUAAAGGGUGCGUAGGCUGUUGUGUAAGUCAGGGGUGAAAUGCCGUCGCUCAACGACGGAGCUGCCUUUGAUACUGCAUGGCUGGAGUGCGGAUGCCGUUGGAGGAAUGAGUGGUGUAGCGGUGAAAUGCUUAGAUAUCACUCAGAACACCGAUUGCGAAGGCAUCUGACGAAUCCGUAACUGACGCUGAGGCACGAAAGCGUGGGGAUAGA